Long non-coding RNA from Salvelinus namaycush (lake trout), 3609 nucleotides. RefSeq lists it as uncharacterized. The transcript is spliced from 4 exons. The record is from RefSeq and is a predicted model, not a curated record. NCBI's taxonomy places the organism in Eukaryota, Metazoa, Chordata, Actinopteri, Salmoniformes, Salmonidae.
AUUGUGCGCCGCCCUAUGGGACUCCCAAUCACGGCCGGAUGUGAUACAGCCUGGAUUCGAACUAGGUACUAGUGACGCCUCUUGCACUGAGAUGCAGUGAUGCCCGGUAUAUGAUUGCGGCAAGUGUCCACACUGCUAAAAGAGGUUCAUCGAGCUGCGACAGUUCACUCAGCAGCUGAGUAAUAUUCACCCCAACGUUCUGGCCAAGCACCUUCAAAGAGGUCUGAUUCUCCCACAUCCAGAGCUCGCUGUCAUCAAUAAGCCAUAUGGAGCUUCUGUUCAAGGUAUUGGGUGUUGAGGCAAUGUAUUUACAUGCCUAUUACAUUAUGGUACAUAAGGCUUAUAUGGUCAAACACACAGUCAAGGAUUAUAUCAUGAAAGAGAUUGUUCAUUUGAAUGUCACUUGUAAAAAAUACAUCUUAAUACCCAGAGGUGUUUUCAAAAAUCACUGUGAUUUAAAUCCAAUAAUCUUCCCCCUAAAUGGGUCAAAGGAAUAUCAUGGACAUCUUCCAGUCCUUGCCAAGGUGAUGGAUGGCAUUGAGGGCUGAGCCCCACUCCCAGCUGAAAGUCCGCCUUGGAUUGGACAAGGAGACAACAGGGGCCCUCUUGCUGGCAAGGAUUGAUGAAGCACCGGACUAUGUACAAAACCUCCACAAAAAAACACCAAGUGGAGAGGAAAUAUUGGUGUAUGGAUGUCUGUGUGUUUAGAGAUUUAGUUUAAGAUAAGGAUCCAGGCAGCUCAUCAUAUGACAGAGUUUUUGUAAUGACCCUGCCGUUGACAACUAGCUCCCUAGUUUUCUUGGAGCAGCGGUGAUGUGUCUGGCCCUGGACCCAAGGGUUAUUGGGCUCGAUUCACACCUCAAAUCAAACUUUAUUGGUUGCAUACACAUAGCAGAUGUUAUUGCGGGUGUAGUGAAAUGCUCGUGUUCCGAGCUCCGACAGUGCAGUAGUAUCUAACAAGCAGUGACGUAGCCUCUGAACCUCAUGCUACUUCCUGGUUACAUUACACUUUCAGUCAUCUUCCUUUUUCCCUAUUCCCCCAUGCAGCAUUGCUGCUGUGGCCUGUUCCCUAUGAGGGGAUGACUUGACAACCCUCAUAGAGAGAAUUCACCUGGGCUCAGGCUCAUUUCAAGAUAGGCCUGAGUCCUGUGUACAGAGGGAGUGACUAACGUGCAGGCCCAGGGGGCAGUGUCCCAGUACGCGUCCUGGACAGCAGCAAUGGCUGCAGCCUUGUGGAGCUCCAGCCCAUCACAGGGGUGAGGAUCCAUAUGGCAUACGUUCUGGGAUGUCAUAUUCUUGGGGACCACAAAUACUCCCACUGGACAAAAACUUCCACCUUAGAAACUGCUGGACGGUUUGUUACCGAGGCUGGGAUUGGAACAAAGCAAGGCACGUUGCCUUCUUCCCUAACCCUGCACACACAUCAGCUGACACUGCCAGUGAUAUCACUGUGUCCUGCCCUGCUGAAGUACUUCACCACCAGCACCCUGCGAUGACUGCAGAUCCCCAUUCCAGGGGGAUGAAUGAUGCAUCAGCGGCUCCUCUGCAGAGCAGACAGAAGACUCUUUUAAAAUCAGAAAUACGGAGCGGCAUCACUUCAAGUGACCCUUGACCUAAUGGUUGUCCCAAGUCCAAGAGCUAAGGCCUGACUGAAAUUCUUAAAAAGCCACACACUCUCUCAUUCACAGUACAAAGGCACGUUUGAAAAAAAACAGACUUUCUUAUUUAGCCUCCAACACCACUAGAAUAUCAAUACAUACAGGAGAUCAUAAAUGGCAAUAAAAAUACAUGUUAAAAAAAAAGUGAGCAGAGUUCCCAUUAAAUGUCUGUUGGUGUGUAAUCCACUCUGCUCUUGGCUCCUGUCCUGUCUGGGACCUGAGAGCUUGGAGGACAAGAGGCACAGGAGAGUCCCUGUGAGGGCUAACAUGUUAUAGGGGGUACAUUUCCAUAUACAUUCCCCUACGUAUUUAUUUGGACAGUGAAGCUAAAAUAUGUACAUUUGGCCCUAUACUCUAGCAUCUUGGAUGACAUCAAAUGUUAUGAGGCGACAGUACAGAAUGCCACCUUUUAUUUGAAGGUAUUUUCAUACUUGACUACAAACUUGGAUGCAUUUGCAGUUUGGUUGUGUUUCAGAUUAUGUUUUGCCCAAUAGGAAUGGUGAAUAAUGUAUUGUGUCAUUUGAGUCACCUUUUAUUGUUAAGUAAGAAUAAAAUAUGUUUCUGAACAGUACAUUGUGGAUGCUACCAAGAUUAUGGAUAAUCAUGACCGAAUCCUGAAUAAUGAGUGAACGAUGCUCCUCAACAACAAAAAUGCCAACCUCUGUCAUUUGUCAUGGUGAGAGGUUAAAAUGUCUUGGGGGUAUGAUCUUUGUACCUUCUCACUCAUUAUCCACAAUUCAUUCAUGAUUAUCCAUAAUCAUGGUAGCAGCCACAUUAAUGUAGAAGUGUUCAGAAACAUAAGCUUAUUUACAAUAAAAGUGACACAAAUGUCACAAUACAUUUACCAUUCAUUUCUAUUGCGAACAACAAUCUGAAAACGCAGCCAAAACAAACCGCAAAAGCAUCCAAGAAGUUUGUAGUCACUUGAUGUAGUCAUUGCAUGCUAGGAAUGUGACCAAAUACUACAAUUUUGAAUACUUUAAUACUACAAGUGAAUUUGUCAAAAUACUUAUGACACCUUCAAAAAUGGGGGGACUAGAUACAUAGUGCUUUCAUUUCUAAACAGUAAAACAUAUGAAAAUACAAUCAAAUGAAACAUUUCAUCUCAAAUCCAAAAUGCUGGAAUACAGAGCCAAAUUAAUCAUUUUUGGUUAAUCAUUAUCCAACUAAAUACAUAGGGAAGUGUACAGCACCUUCAGAAAGUAUUCACACCCCUUGACUUUUUCCACAUUGUAACACAAUCUGAAUUUAAAAUUAUUACAUUGAGAUUUGUCACUGGCCUACACACAAUUUCAAAGUAGAAUUAUGUUUUUAUAAACUUUUACAAAUGUAUGAAAAUCAGAAAUAUCUUGAGUCAAUAAGCAUUCAACCCAUUUGUUAUGGCUUACCAAGAAGACAGUGAUGGUUACCGAAUGUCCGAGUUACAGUUUGGACUUAAAUCUACUUGAAAAUCUAUGGCAAGACCUGAAAAUGGCUGUCCAGCAAUUUGACAGAGCUGGAAUAAUUUUGAAAAGUAUAAUCGACAAAUGUUGCACAAUCCAGGUGUGGAAAGCUCUUAAAGACUUGAAGCCAAAUUAUGCUUGAUCCGAAAAUGUGGUCAGAGGGUUUGAUGCUAAAGCGGAGUCUCCUGAGGCGUGCAGAGGCCAAAUCAAGCUCCGCACUGCAUCGCUAUGCACCUCUCAAAAUGUUUUAACAAUGCAGAGGGCUCUGUAUAGCUCCGCAUUGACAUGACUGAUUUGACGGUAGGUGGGGGCGAGAGGUCCUGUAUAAACAAACUCACUUCCUUGACAACAGCUCAGCGCAAAAAAUAUGUUUGCUCUGACUUCUGCGGAGGCCGCGUCGCAGUAAAUGCUGUAUGGCUUGACCAUGCAGCGCCUUUUACCCAGAAAGACUCUCAGCUGUAAUCGCUGUCAAAGGUGCCUAGACAAAGUAUUGACUCAGGUGUGAAUAC